CAAGCACAGCCAGUGGGGCAGGCUAGAGCUGAGCCUGACUGAAGGGAGGACAGGAAGGAUGCAGAAGUCUGAAGUAAGGAUGAAGGCUUCUUCUACCUACAUUUGAAUCUCUCCCUUUAAUGAGCACAUCAGGAAAACACACAGAGAGAGAACCACAGUCACAUACAGCUGCCAAAAAUAUUGCUAACAUUAGUAUAAAUACAUUUUAAUGAUCAGAA
Molecule: long non-coding RNA, 218 nt
Organism: Podarcis raffonei (Aeolian wall lizard)
Lineage: Eukaryota; Metazoa; Chordata; Lepidosauria; Squamata; Lacertidae
Exons: 2
Source: RefSeq, a predicted model, not a curated record